Molecule: long non-coding RNA, 369 nt
Filed under: Brassica napus (rape)
Lineage: Eukaryota; Viridiplantae; Streptophyta; Magnoliopsida; Brassicales; Brassicaceae
Description: long non-coding RNA (BNAP_LNC021083)
Source: RNAcentral
ACUAAACAUGGACAUGAGUAUUUCCACAUCCUGGUAUUUUUUGACCCAUUCUUCAGCCAGUUGUAGUUUUUUCUUUUCUUUUAACACCAUUUGUAAUUACUGUUUUAUUAUUAUUUGUAGUUAUAUUUAAAAGUAAUCUUAUCUAUAUAUUAUUAUAAAGAACAGUUUUUCUCUUCUCCUUAAGACACCUGAGAUUCCACAUAGAUAAAUCGAGCUCUGUGAGCACGACACGUGUCCCACCAUCCCAAAAACUAGCGUUUCAUUUAAGUUACAGAUCGUAACUGUAACGCCUCCUCUCCUCCUCUGCCUCUCUCCUACGUGAAGUUAUUAAGCACUGUGAUGCCUCAUUUCCUACUUCGUGACAGAUCU